This 26-nucleotide non-coding RNA is filed under the name Homo sapiens (human). The record is from RNAcentral. Lineage: Eukaryota; Metazoa; Chordata; Mammalia; Primates; Hominidae.
AAACAGUGGUUACAGGGGGCUCAGAU